This 249-nucleotide ribosomal RNA is filed under the name Morganella morganii. RNAcentral describes it as "partial 16S ribosomal RNA". It matches the Rfam family "Bacterial small subunit ribosomal RNA", at positions 1 to 246 of the family's 1533-position model. Lineage: Bacteria; Pseudomonadati; Pseudomonadota; Gammaproteobacteria; Enterobacterales; Morganellaceae. The record is from RNAcentral.
UAAUUGAAGAGUUUGAUCAUGGCUCAGAUUGAACGCUGGCGGCAGGCCUAACACAUGCAAGUCGGGCGGUAACAGGGAGAAGCUUGCUUCUCCGCUGACGAGCGGCGGACGGGUGAGUAAUGUAUGGGGAUCUGCCUGAUGGCGGGGGAUAACUACUGGAAACGGUAGCUAAUACCGCAUAAUGUCUGCGGACCAAAGCGGGGGACCUUCGGGCCUCGCGCCAUCAGAUGAACCCAUAUGGGAUUAGCU